CUAGAUUAGCAGGCUCCUACCCUACGACCUUUUAGUUAACAGCUAAACGCUCCAUCAUACGAGCUUUAAUCUA
This 73-nucleotide transfer RNA is filed under the name Lyciasalamandra atifi. RNAcentral describes it as "tRNA-Asn". Lineage: Eukaryota; Metazoa; Chordata; Amphibia; Caudata; Salamandridae. The record is from RNAcentral.